Molecule: ribosomal RNA, 996 nt
Filed under: Triticum aestivum (bread wheat)
Lineage: Eukaryota; Viridiplantae; Streptophyta; Magnoliopsida; Poales; Poaceae
Description: partial small subunit ribosomal RNA
Source: RNAcentral
AUGGCUGCCUCGCCGUCGUCGACCCUUGUGAGCCCUCCUCGUGUUGACCUCGACGGGGAGGACACGAGCACGCUGGUUCGUGGCACGCCGGAGUGGCUGCGGUGCGCGGGCCUCGUCCGCCGCGCGCUUGAGGCCAACGGGUGGGUCGCCGUCGGGUGUCGCCGCCGCGUACCGCCGGAGCUGCGGGAGCGGAUGCUCGUGGCGAUGGCGGAGCUGUUCGCGCUCCCGCGCGAGACGAAGCGCCGGACCGGCGCCGCGGACGGCCCGUACAGGGCGUACAUGGAGAAGCGGGACUCCGCCGCGUGCCAUCACGAGGCGUUCGGGGUUCUCAACGCGGCCGCCGGCGGCGGCGAGGAGGCCCGGGCGUUCGUUGCGCGCGCGUGGCCGCACGGCAACGACCGCUUCCUGGAGACGCUGACUUCGACGGCCGGAGAGAUGGCGAGGCUGGCCCGCGUGAUCCUCGCCAUGGUCGUCGACGGCUACGGCCUCUCGCACCGCUCCGACGAGAUCGUCGCCGCCACGGACACCAACUUCCGCAUGCUCAGGUACCACAACGACAACACGCGGACGUCGUCGUCGGACGGGCAGCCGGCCGUCGGCCUCGCCGCCCACGUCGACGGGAGCUAUCUGACGGUCCUGUUCCAGAACGACGUGGACGGCUUCGAGAUGAGGACGGGGGACGGCGGGGAGUGGGCGAGGGUGCACUCUCCAGGCCCCGACUCCCUCCUCGUCGUCGCCGGCCAGCCACUCGUGGCUUGGAGUAACGGGAGGCUGCACGCGCCGGUGCACCGGGUGGCCGUCGGCGGGCGGGAGGACCGGCUGUCCUGCGGCGUGUUCCUGCUUCCAAGAAGGAACCUCGUCGUCGACGCGCCGCCAGAGCUGGUCACCGUGGACGCCCCGCGCCGGUUCAGGCCGUUCGAGUACAGUGACUACCUCAGGUUCAAGCACGCCGGCGGCAACGGCGAGGACGUGCUCGACCGCUUCGCUGGGAUUUGA